UUCUGAGGUUGGAGUGGCGCAAGGGUGCGUAACACGUGGGUAAUUUGCCGUGAAGUUGGGGAUAACUCGCUGAAAGGCGAGCUAAUACCGAAUGUGAAAAUUGGAAGGCAUCUUCUGAUUUUUAAAGUUGGGGACCGCAAGGCCUGACGCUUCUCGAUAAGCCCGCGGCCUAUCAGCUAGUUGGUGAGGUAACGGCUCACCAAGGCUAAGACGGGUAGCUGGUCUGAGAGGACGACCAGUCACACUGGAACUGAGACACGGUCCAGACACCUACGGGUGGCAGCAGUCGAGAAUUUUUCUCAAUGGGCGAAAGCCUGAAGGAGCGACGCCGCGUGGGGGAUGAAGGGCUUCGGCUCGUAAACCCCUGUCAUUUGCGAACAAACCUUACGAUUUAACAGAUCGUGAGCUGAUUGUAGCGAAAGAGGAAGGGACGGCUAACUCUGUGCCAGCAGCCGCGGUAAUACAGAGGUCCCAAGCGUUGUUCGGAUUCACUGGGCGUAAAGGGUGCGUAGGUGGCGGGGUAAGUUUGAUGUGAAAUCUCCGGGCUUAA
Molecule: ribosomal RNA, 550 nt
Filed under: uncultured bacterium
Lineage: Bacteria
Description: bacterial SSU rRNA
Rfam family: Bacterial small subunit ribosomal RNA
Source: RNAcentral